GAUGAACGCUGGCGGCGUGCCUAAUACAUGCAAGUCGAGCGAACAGACGAGGAGCUUGCUCCUCUGACGUUAGCGGCGGACGGGUGAGUAACACGUGGAUAACCUACCUAUAAGACUGGGAUAACUUCGGGAAACCGGAGCUAAUACCGGAUAAUAUAUUGAACCGCAUGGUUCAAUAGUGAAAGACGGUUUUGCUGUCACUUAUAGAUGGAUCCGCGCCGCAUUAGCUAGUUGGUAAGGUAACGGCUUACCAAGGCAACGAUGCGUAGCCGACCUGAGAGGGUGAUCGGCCACACUGGAAACGAGACACGGUCCAGAAUCCUACGGGAGGGAGCAGGAGGGAAUCUUCCGCAAUGGGGGAAAGGCUGAAGGAGAAAAGCCGCGUGAGUGAUGAAGGUCUUCGGAACGUAAAAAUCUGUUAAUAGGGAAGAAAAAAUGUGUAAGUAACUAUGCACGGCUUGACGGUAACUAAUCAGAAAGACACGGCUAAAUAAGGG
This 497-nucleotide ribosomal RNA is filed under the name uncultured bacterium. Its description in RNAcentral is "partial 16S ribosomal RNA". It matches the Rfam family "Bacterial small subunit ribosomal RNA", at positions 28 to 507 of the family's 1533-position model. The record is from RNAcentral.